AUACAUUUGCUAUAUUCUUACAUGGGGAUAAUAGUUUAUGUACAAAAGUACGUAUUGUAGCUACGCCUCUGAUCCUCAUAUUUCCUAAAUCUUUACGUAUACGGACCAUAUUUUCAAUUUAUCUAUCCUUUCUAUGGCUGGCUACACUCUGAUCGAUUCGAAUCUGAUCAAUGUGAUUUAAGGUUUUCGAUGAUUGAAUCUGCGAGUUUUAGUCUUCAAUCACACGAUGACUGCCCAAAUCACGAAGCCCUUUGAGGCUAUCAGUAGCAGGAGAAGGGCAUGUUAUGAACAUUGGCUGAUGCCAGUUGGUGUAGAGGGCAACCUACCCUAUUGUGCAUUACAAAUCAUUAUUAGAUAUAAAUAUAAGGAAUUAAAUGGCCAUUCUUCCAGAAGUGAUAUGAUAAGUUGAGUACAAUUUCGAACCUUUUAUAGUGCUCUUUCUCUAAUUUUGUGAUCCUCAUGGGGUGACUCUUAUUUCAUAUUCAACUAAUGUGCUCUUUUUCUCAGAGGUUACUCUUAUCACGAUUUUGGUCCUCUGAUCGUUUUUAUUAUGGACUUACAGUGCUAACAGGAAUCCACUUGAAAGAUUUCUUUGUUGAGAGAAACAGGAGAAAUCCUCUCUGAAAUAGUCAAAAUUCCAAGACUCCAUUUUCCUUUCCAGUUCUGACAUUAUCUGCAUCUGAUUUAUUUUUGCAGUCCUUUGUGUUAUGUUAAUUAUCAAUGUUAUGGCAGGUUCUGCUGCUGUAUUGUUGGAAUAUAUAGCAAGAAGAAAAACUUUUAUGAUCACCAUGGGACAUGGUUGACCUUAGAGUCUCUCCAGCACAGAAGGUAAUUUCAAAUGAAUGUGGAGGAAUUUUAGGUUGAAAGAAAAAGGGAGUAGAGGAACUUGAUGAAGCAAAUCUUUGGCUGAAUGAAAGAAACAUGAACUAUUUGAGGAAAACUCAGGUAUCGAUUUAAGGAGACUGCUCACAAUGUCCAUUCUAUGAACUAAAAUUAAAAGAGGAAUAUGAGGUAUGCACCACGUUGGAGGAGAUCAAUGAAUAUAGUAACAUUUAAUGAUAGUGCUUUUGAUUAUAUUUUCUUUUGGGGGAUUUUAUGCUUCUAGAAUGAUCUAAGCUUAUAUGGACGUGGGCAUAAUUUUGCUCUCAAAAACCUUAGUUUGCUUCAGUUAAACCUUUAGGUCAGCAAAAUAACCUCUAGGUGAGUUGCUCUGCAUGAAAAUUUGGAGUUAGGCAAUCUCUAUUGAGCAUUCCAAAUUGAGGUAUCUUCUCUAUUAUGGAUUGUUUGUCAUAUAUUUAUAUGUAGCUUGUUUUUUCUUCAAUUCAGUCUCUCGAUACGAGGAAAGAGAAUAAAGGGAUAGUUUAUACAUGUUGAGUUGGAUUGCCAAGUAAGACUUGCAUUACAUCUAUAGAAUAAAGGGAUAGCUUAUACAUAGAGCAUUCCCUUUGGUGCCUAACAUAUUAAAUAGUAAAUACAAAGUGGCAGUAACUAAAAUUUACAAACAACAAAUCAAUUUGUUAAAUUAUAAUUUAGAAUUGAGAACUUCAUUGAAUUUUUUUACUUAAAUUACUCCUAGAAUUAAUCUUUCUUGUUAUAAAAUUUCCUUCAUUUCACUUUUCUUCUGUUCAUAGUGAGACUAUCCUAUUAGAAAUGUCCAACUUAGCAGGUGUAUUAUUAUGGGGCAGGAAAAUUUUGAAAGACAUGGAGCAGGGGAAGAAGGAGGGGCGAGGCACUUAUCUGGAUUCUCAAGUGUGGAGCCAGUAGUUGAAUAAUAGUUGCUGAACUUGCUUCAGCUAUAUGAUCAAAUAGCACAUGAGAAGACUUCAUCGACAAAAUGCGUGACUUGUACUCACAGCUGACAAGACUACAGGAUCAGUUGGAGAAAGAGAGAGAGGUAAGGGAAGUGCUGGAAGCUGGACGUAAAAUGUCCCAAGGGCCCUUACAUGUCUUAUCCACUAUAGAUGAGAAAGAAAGUCAACCUCACAAUUAAUGGAAGGAUGAAGAGAAAGACCUUGAAAUUACAGCUACUUCAUGUAUCCUUGAAAGGUCGACAAGAAGGAAGGGAGUUGUUGCUUAAGUUCAGACACCCAGUAAGCCAAUGAUGUACAGAUCAUCCAUAUCCUUGGUGUAAGGUUUUUUUUUUUUUUUUUUUGUCCCUGUUAAAUGUGUAAAUUGAAUUGUUUUGGAAGUCUGUUGAAGGUUGUAUUGAAAACCUUGGUUUCAAGUCUCUAUUGGACCUUCA
Cornus florida is the source of this 2242-nucleotide long non-coding RNA. RefSeq lists it as uncharacterized. NCBI's taxonomy places the organism in Eukaryota, Viridiplantae, Streptophyta, Magnoliopsida, Cornales, Cornaceae. The record is from RefSeq and is a predicted model, not a curated record. The transcript is spliced from 6 exons.